AUUGAACGCUGGCGGAAUGCUUUACACAUGCAAGUCGAACGGCAGCACGGGGGCAACCCUGGUGGCGAGUGGCGAACGGGUGAGUAACACAUCGGAACGUGCCCAGUCGUGGGGGAUAACACAGCGAAAGCUGUGCUAAUACCGCAUACGAUCUAUGGAUGAAAGCGGGGGACCGUAAGGCCUCGCGCGAUUGGAGCGGCCGAUGGCAGAUUAGGUAGUUGGUGGGGUAAAGGCUCACCAAGCCGACGAUCUGUAGCUGGUCUGAGAGGACGACCAGCCACACUGGGACUGAGACACGGCCCAGACUCCUACGGGAGGCAGCAGUGGGGAAUUUUGGACAAUGGGCGCAAGCCUGAUCCAGCCAUUCCGCGUGCAGGAUGAAGGCCCUCGGGUUGUAAACUGCUUUUGUACGGAACGAAACGGUCUGCUCUAAUACAGCGGGCUAAUGACGGUACCGUAAGAAUAAGCACCGGCUAACUACGUGCCAGCCGCCGCCGUAA
RNAcentral lists this ribosomal RNA (500 nucleotides) under uncultured bacterium. Its description in RNAcentral is "partial 16S ribosomal RNA". It matches the Rfam family "Bacterial small subunit ribosomal RNA", at positions 29 to 523 of the family's 1533-position model. The record is from RNAcentral.